AUUCCAGCUCCAAUAGUGUAUAUUAAAGUUGUUGCAGUUAAAAAGCUCGUAGUUGGAUUUCUGGCGGGAGCGAUCGGUCCUUCACUCAGUGUUGGAACCUGAUUGUCUCCUGCCAUCCAUGGAGAAAACUUAUCUGGCAUUAAGUUGUCGGGUAGGCAAUCUCCAUCUUUUACUGUGAAAAAAUUAGAGUGUUCAAAGCAGGCUUAUGCCGUUGAAUAUAUUAGCAUGGAAUAAUAAGAUAGGACUUUGGUGGUUCUUUUUGAUAUUUUGUUGGUUUGCACGCCAAAGUAAUGAUUAAUAGGAGCAGUUGGGGGUAUUCGUAUCCAAUUGUCAGAGGUGAAAUUCUUGGAUUUAUAGAAGACGAACUACUGCGAAAGCAUUUACCAAGGAUGUUUUCAUUA
This 401-nucleotide ribosomal RNA is filed under the name Rhizosolenia sp. Its description in RNAcentral is "partial small subunit ribosomal RNA". It matches the Rfam family "Eukaryotic small subunit ribosomal RNA", at positions 582 to 975 of the family's 1831-position model. Lineage: Eukaryota; Bacillariophyta; Coscinodiscophyceae; Rhizosoleniales; Rhizosoleniaceae. The record is from RNAcentral.